GUGAAUUCAGAAUUCAGCGAAUCAUCGAAUCUUUGAACGCACAUUGCGCCCUCUGGUAUUCCGGGGGGCAUGCCUGUCCGAGCGUC
Molecule: ribosomal RNA, 86 nt
Filed under: Cookeina sulcipes
Lineage: Eukaryota; Fungi; Ascomycota; Pezizomycetes; Pezizales; Sarcoscyphaceae
Description: partial 5.8S ribosomal RNA
Rfam family: 5.8S ribosomal RNA
About the family: 5.8S ribosomal RNA (5.8S rRNA) is a component of the large subunit of the eukaryotic ribosome. It is transcribed by RNA polymerase I as part of the 45S precursor that also contains 18S and 28S rRNA.
Source: RNAcentral